UGAGGUGGAGAGAGAGGAUGAGGAGGAGAGAGAGGAUGAGGUGGAGAGAGAUGAUGAGGAGGAGAGAGAGGAUGAGGAGGAGAGAGAGGAUGAGGAGGAGAGAGAGGAUGAGGUGGAGAGAGAGGAUGAGGAGGAGAGAGAUGAUGAGGUGGAGAGAGAGGAUGAGGUGGAGAGAGAGGAUGAGGAAGAGAGAGAGAGAGAUGAUAAGGUGGAGAGAGAGGAUGAGGAGGAGAGAGAGGAUGAGGUGGAGAGAGAGGAUGAGGAGGAGAGAGAGGAUGAGGAGGAGAGAGAGGAUGAGGAGGAGAGAGAGGAUGAGGUGGAGAGAGAGGAUGAGGAAGAGAGAGAGAGAGAUGAUAAGGUGGAGAGAGAGGAUGAGGAGGAGAGAGAGGAUGAGGAGGAGAGAGAGGAUGAGGUGGAGAGAGAGGAUGAGGAAGAGAGAGAGAGGAUGAGGUGGAGAGAGAGAGAGAGGAUGAGGAGGAGAGAGAGAGAGGAUGAGGUGGAGAGAGAGAGGAUGAGGUAGAGAGAGAGGAUAAG
This is a long non-coding RNA of Oncorhynchus tshawytscha (Chinook salmon), 534 nucleotides long. Lineage: Eukaryota; Metazoa; Chordata; Actinopteri; Salmoniformes; Salmonidae. The record is from Ensembl.